Peromyscus leucopus (white-footed mouse) is the source of this 1852-nucleotide long non-coding RNA. RefSeq lists it as uncharacterized. Lineage: Eukaryota; Metazoa; Chordata; Mammalia; Rodentia; Cricetidae. The record is from RefSeq and is a predicted model, not a curated record. The transcript is spliced from 2 exons.
CUGCUCUCUGCUAUUCUGUCUUCACAAGAGCCGUCGUUAGUAGGUGAUGGGACAGCCUGGAACCAGUGUGCCUGCAGGGCUCAUGGUGCCGUACAGAUCAGUGCAGGCCAGGGUUUCAGCCUGGAGACGACAACUUUAGUCUGCUUAGGGAAGACAGGUUUGAAUUUUGAUAUUUUUCUCCCCUCAAAAAGAAGUUGACAGACUUGGCCUGGCAGAGCUGUGAGAACUGAAAGGAGAUCACGUCCUGUGUGGUACCUGCCUCUCCCAUCAUAGGUACUCAGGAAAAUGGGGAGAUGGGCGUGGGUUGAGGCCCGAGAGUGCUGGAUUCCAUAGGACACACCUAAGGACAAAAAUAUCUCCCCAAGCCCGACAAAACCAUCGUAAAAUGUGUCCGUCCAGCACUCGCAGGAGCUACACGAAGAACAUGGAGGCUUACCAGAUGUUCUUAUCGAAGAACAUGGAGGCUUACCAGAUGUUCUUAUCUUCACUGCCCCAUUUCUGGGAACCUGGGACUCUUCCCUUGUUUGAACUCCGGGGCGUAUGAGAAUUCGCUGAUGAGAUGAGAUGAAGCCCUGUGGAGGUGGGACAAAGACUGAUACUCUGAAGAGAGGGACCGAGCUGGAAGACUAAGGGCUGGAUAGGCAGACCUGUCUCUUUCUGCAGCAGAGAUUCCAGGAAACCGAUUAUCAUCCUGGGCAGUUGCUCCCUCCCCUGCUGAGGCCUAUCUGAGGAGUGGGGUCUUGGUUGACAUUCCAAAUCUCACUCUGAAAAGUUCAAGGGAUGCUCCCUGCCUAGCUGCUGAGACAAGGAAAGCAAACACCAGGCCUCAGCUGAAUGGACUGCCUGCUGCUGCCGAGAAAGGUUCCAGUUGGAGACUGAGCCCUCCCAAGUGAAGAAACUCACUUCAAAAGCCACCGGUCCCGGUCUUACAACAAGCCAGUGUUUGUUAAAUUGAGCUUGAGGCGACACACACCCCAAACCCAUUUCCAGUUUGUGCUCAGGGGCAAGUCCUUGACCACACAAAGGGUGAGGCGCUUGGGGAAUUUGUGGACUGUCCAGUUGAUCAGAUAAAACCGGGGAGAAUCAGAAAGGAGGCUUUCAAGGUUUUACUACAAACAGCUGAAGCGCCCGCAGCUAAUCUGAGCUUUCCUUUCCCUCCCCGGGUGAAGUUUGCCUUCGGUAAACACCAGCGACUUCCCUCUCUGAAGCACAAAGACACUCUUCAUCUGAAUUCUAGAGAAAAAAAGAUCCGAAGCUAGCUUGAAAGAAGUGGAUUUCAACCGGGGAUGGACUGAUCUGUUUCCCGUUUCUUCUGCAUCUCAAUAAUACACACGAUGUAGCCAAACCCACGCUGACCAACAAAACUUAGUUAUACAGUAGAUUCAAACUGAGGCCCAGCUGAGACAAGACUUGCUAGACCUCCUUGAGGCACUCUGUCAUUCCUUACAUGUCAUCACAUUUAAUUAUAUUAAUCUUUGCCACAAGUAGUGGGGGGAGGGCGCGUAUUAUGACUCUUUGUCUAGCAACGGGGUUCAAGGUCUCUUAGCUAAUAUGAAACUCUAAAUGUUACCAGUUUCUAAGCCAAGGAUAUGUCCUUUUCUCAGACCAAUGACCUCCACCGACUUUCUAAAACGUUAGUUCUCUGCCUUUUGUUCUGUGGCUAACUCAGGCCCCCACCCCAUCUCCACCCCUGCACCCUAAACUAUCCUGAUCAUACUUACAUUCCCAGUCUCCCAUCCCUCUGGUCCUGGAUGCUUACCCCAGCUAGAAAUUAUAUGUAGGUCUUUUAAAGAAUUUUAAAAAUCGUAUUGCCUUUUUGCUUUUAUAUUUUGAAUUAAAAUGUUUCAAAGUU